Molecule: ribosomal RNA, 539 nt
Filed under: uncultured archaeon
Lineage: Archaea
Description: bacterial SSU rRNA
Rfam family: Archaeal small subunit ribosomal RNA
Source: RNAcentral
GGGUGCAGCAGGCGCGAAAACUCCACAAUGUACGGAAGUACGAUGGGGUUAUCUCGAGUGCAGUCCGAUAAGGGCUGCUUUUCCAUAGAGUAAUAUCCUGUGGGAAUAAGAGGGGGGCAAGACUGGUGUCAGCCGCCGCGGUAACACCAGCCCCUCGAGUGGUGGGGACUAUUAUUUGGCCUAAAGCGUCCGUAGCUGGCUGUAUCCGUCCCCCGUUAAAUCCAGCGUCCUAAGCGUUGGACUGCGGGUGAUACCAUACAGCUAGAGGGUGGGAUAGGUGAGCGGUAUUUCUGGGGUAGGGGCGAAAUCCUUUGAUCCCAGGAGGACCACCAGUGGCGAAGGCUGCUCACUAGAACACGCCUGACGGUCAGGGACGAAAGCUGGGGCAGCGAACCGGAUUAGAUACCCGGGUAGUCCCAGCUGUAAACGAUGCUAGCUAGGUGUUGGGUCGGCCACGUGCCGCCCCAGUGCCGCAGGGAAGCCGUUAAGCUAGCCGCCUGGGGAGUACGGCCGCAAGGCUGAAACUUAAAGGAAUUGGC